GAUGAAGAACGCAGCGAAAUGCGAUAAGUAAUGUGAAUUGCAGAAUUCAGUGAAUCAUCGAAUCUUUGAACGCACAUUGCGCCCGUCAGUAUUCUGGCGGGCAUGCCUGUUCGAGCGUCAUUACGCCCCUCAAGUCCCCUGUGGACUUGGUGUUGGGGAUCGGCGAGGCUGGUUUUCCAGCACAGCCGUCCCUUAAAUUAAUUGGCGGUCUCGCCGUGGCCCUCCUCUGCGCAGUAGUAAAACACUCGCAACAGGAUCCCGGCGCGGUCCACUGCCGUAAAACCCCCCAACUUUUUAUAGUUGACCUCGAAUCAGGUAGGACUACCCGCUGAACUUAAGCAUAUCAAUAAGCGGAGGA
RNAcentral lists this unclassified non-coding RNA (358 nucleotides) under soil metagenome. RNAcentral's name for it is "partial contains 5.8S ribosomal RNA, internal transcribed spacer 2, and large subunit ribosomal RNA". The stretch from base 1 to 120 matches the Rfam family "5.8S ribosomal RNA", at positions 35 to 154 of the family's 154-position model. The record is from RNAcentral.